CCUCUGUGGUGAAAUGGUAAACACUCAUGACUUAAAAUCAUGUGCUUUAAGGCUUACCGGUUCAAGUCCGGUCAGAGGUA
Molecule: transfer RNA, 80 nt
Filed under: Trachelomonas volvocina
Lineage: Eukaryota; Euglenozoa; Euglenophyceae; Euglenales; Euglenaceae
Description: tRNA-Leu
Rfam family: tRNA
About the family: Transfer RNA (tRNA) molecules are approximately 80 nucleotides in length. Their secondary structure includes four short double-helical elements and three loops (D, anti-codon, and T loops). Further hydrogen bonds mediate the characteristic L-shaped molecular structure. tRNAs have two regions of fundamental functional importance: the anti-codon, which is responsible for specific mRNA codon recognition, and the 3' end, to which the tRNAs corresponding amino acid is attached (by aminoacyl-tRNA synthetases). tRNAs cope with the degeneracy of the genetic code in two manners: having more than one tRNA (with a specific anti-codon) for a particular amino acid; and 'wobble' base-pairing, i.e. permitting non-standard base-pairing at the 3rd anti-codon position.
Source: RNAcentral